This 883-nucleotide ribosomal RNA is filed under the name uncultured bacterium. RNAcentral's name for it is "bacterial SSU rRNA". It matches the Rfam family "Bacterial small subunit ribosomal RNA", at positions 505 to 1397 of the family's 1533-position model. The record is from RNAcentral.
GUGCAGCAGCCGCGUAAUACGGAAGGUCCGGGCGUUAUCCGGAUUCAUUGGGUUUAAAGGGAGCGCAGGCGGCUGUCAACAGCCGUCAAAUGGCCCGGCUCAACCGGGUCUUGCGGUUGGAACUGGCGGCCUUGGGUGCACAAGAGGAAGGCGGAACUCGUGGUGUAGCGGUGAAAUGCAUAGAUAUCACGAAGACCUCCGAUUGCGAAGGCAGCCUUCUGGGGUGUAACCGACGCUCAUGCUCGAAGGUGCGGGUAUCAAACAGGAUUAGAUACCCUGGUAGUCCGCACAGUAAACGAUGGACACUCGGCCUGUGGCCCUUGAGGCUGCGGGUCUCUAGCGAAAGCGUUAAGUGUCCCACCUGGGGAGUACGCCGGCAACGGUGAAACUCAAAGGAAUUGACGGGGGCCCGCACAAGCGGAGGAACAUGUGGUUUAAUUCGAUGAUACGCGAGGAACCUUACCCGGGCUUGAAAUGUGCAGGACGGGGGGCAGAGACGCCCUCUUUCUUCGGACCUGCAUGUAGGUGCUGCAUGGUUGUCGUCAGCUCGUGCCGUGAGGUGUCGGCUUAAGUGCCAUAACGAGCGCAACCCCUUCCGCCGGUUACCAUCGGGUGAUGCCGGGGACUCCGGCGGCACUGCCGCACAAGGCGUGAGGAAGGUGGGGAUGACGUCAAAUCAGCACGGCCCUUACGUCCGGGGCUACACACGUGUUACAAUGGGGGGCACAGCGAGCUGGUGACGGCGACGUGCAUCGAAUCAUUAAAUCCCCUCCCAGUUCGGAUCGGAGCCUGCAACCCGGCUCCGUGAAGCUGGAUUCGCUAGUAAUCGCGCAUCAGCCAUGGCGCGGUGAAUACGUUCCCGGGCCUUGUACACACCGCCCGU